UACGGGGGGUGCGAGCGUUAAUCGGACUUACUGGGCGUAAAGCGCACGUAGGUGGAUCAUUAAGUUAGAUGUGAAAUACCUGGGCUCAACCUGGGAAUUGCAUUUAAUACUGGUGAACUAGAGUAUGGCAGAGGGAAGUGGAAUUUCCGGUGUAGCGGUGAAAUGCGUAGAUAUCGGAAGGAACAUCAGUGGCGAAGGCGACUUCCUGGGCUAAUACUGACACUGAGGAGCGAAAGCGUGGGUAUCGAACAGG
RNAcentral lists this ribosomal RNA (253 nucleotides) under uncultured bacterium. RNAcentral describes it as "partial 16S ribosomal RNA". It matches the Rfam family "Bacterial small subunit ribosomal RNA", at positions 524 to 776 of the family's 1533-position model. The record is from RNAcentral.